GACCUCUCCGGUGGCCUAAUGGUUAAAGCGUCUGCCUCGGAUGUGGAAGUCGCGGAUUCGAAUCCGUACCGAGUCA
Non-coding RNA from Potamilus streckersoni, 76 nucleotides. The record is from the annotation of a GenBank genome assembly. NCBI's taxonomy places the organism in Eukaryota, Metazoa, Mollusca, Bivalvia, Unionida, Unionidae.